GCUGGUAUGCCUCAGGUUAUUUGGAUGAACAUGGCAGACACGCUUAAGGAAGCUUGAGCUGCUUCUGCUUCAUCUGCAGAAAGAAAAGCAGUCUUAUCUCCUUUAGAGAACAAGUGUAGGCAGCACUUCUGUGGAGCACUACAAGGCUGCAGAGCCAGUAAAACUCACUGAUGUCCCAGAACAUCAGCUCUGUAACAUGGAGUGAGACUUCUUCCGCUUGACUGCAAGAAAAAUAAGUCAGCCUCCAGUCUUCCUCCUAUCUCCAAACCAAAGCUUCUGCAAAAAUGCCAGUUGAAGGCACCUCUGGAAACCCCCUCAAAGCAGAAUUACUGCCAGCCAUGGCCUUGUCUGGCCAAAGUCUUAAC
This 365-nucleotide long non-coding RNA is filed under the name Chloebia gouldiae (Gouldian finch). RNAcentral describes it as "Erythrura gouldiae (Gouldian finch) lncRNA (ENSEGOG00005006858.1)". Lineage: Eukaryota; Metazoa; Chordata; Aves; Passeriformes; Passeridae. The record is from RNAcentral.